Molecule: ribosomal RNA, 253 nt
Filed under: uncultured bacterium
Lineage: Bacteria
Description: partial 16S ribosomal RNA
Rfam family: Bacterial small subunit ribosomal RNA
Source: RNAcentral
CACGUAGGGGACGAGCGUUGUCCGGAUUCAUUGGGCGUAAAGCGCGCGUAGGCGGCUCGGAAAGUCGGUCGUGAAAUGCCGGGGCUCAACCCCGGGACUGCGUCCGAUACUUCCGGGCUGGAGGUAGGUAGGGGAGAUCGGAAUUCCUGGUGUAGCGGUGAAAUGCGUAGAUAUCAGGAGGAACACCAACGGCGAAGGCAGCUUUCUGGACGAUAACUGACUCUGAGGCACGAAGGCCAGGGGAGCGAACGGG